CCUACGGGAGGCAGCAGUGGGGGAUAUUGCACAAUGGGGGGAACCCUGAUGCAGCGACGCCGCGUGGGUGAAGAAGCGCCUCGGCGCGUAAAGCCCUGUCAGCAGGGAAGAAAAUGACGGUACCUGAAGAAGAAGCCCCGGCUAACUACGUGCCAGCAGCCGCGGUAAUACGUAGGGGGCAAGCGUUAUCCGGAUUUACUGGGUGUAAAGGGGGCGCAGACGGCGAUGCAAGCCAGGAGUGAAAGCCCGGGGCACAACCCCGGGACUGCUCUUGGACCGGCGUGGCUGGAGUGCAGGAGGGGCAGGCGGAAUGCCUGGUGUAGCGGUGAAAUGGGUAGAGAUCAGGAGGAACACCGGUGGCGAAGGCGGCCUGCUGGACUGCAACUGACGUUGAGGCCCGAAAGCGUGGGGAGCAAACAGGAUUAGAUACCCCAGUAGUC
Molecule: ribosomal RNA, 440 nt
Filed under: uncultured bacterium
Lineage: Bacteria
Description: partial 16S ribosomal RNA
Rfam family: Bacterial small subunit ribosomal RNA
Source: RNAcentral